GACGAACGCUGGCGGCGUGCCUAAUACAUGCAAGUCGAACGCUGAAGCGAGGAGCUUGCUCUUCUUGGAUGAGUUGCGAACGGGUGAGUAACGCGUAGGUAACCUGCCUGGUAGCGGGGGAUAACUAUUGGAAACGAUAGCUAAUACCGCAUAAAAUUGAUUAUUGCAUGAUACUUAAUUGAAAGAUGCAACUGCAUCACUACCAGAUGGACCUGCGUUGUAUUAGCUAGUUGGUGAGGUAACGGCUCACCAAGGCGACGAUACAUAGCCGACCUGAGAGGGUGAUCGGCCACACUGGGACUGAGACACGGCCCAGACCCCUACGGGGAGCAGCAGUAGGGAAACUUCGGAAAUGGGGGGAACCCUGACCGAGCAACGCCGCGGGAGUGAAGAAGGGUUUCGGGUCGGAAAGCUCUGUUGUAAGGGAAGAACGGGUGUGAGAGUGGAAAGUUCACACUGUGACGGUACCUUAACAGAAAGGGACGGCUAACUACGUG
This 497-nucleotide ribosomal RNA is filed under the name uncultured bacterium. Its description in RNAcentral is "partial 16S ribosomal RNA". It matches the Rfam family "Bacterial small subunit ribosomal RNA", at positions 28 to 507 of the family's 1533-position model. The record is from RNAcentral.